Molecule: ribosomal RNA, 478 nt
Filed under: uncultured bacterium
Lineage: Bacteria
Description: partial 16S ribosomal RNA
Rfam family: Bacterial small subunit ribosomal RNA
Source: RNAcentral
GAUGAACGCUGGCGGCGUGCUUAACACAUGCAAGUCGAACGAGAAGUGAAGACGGAAACCUUCGGGCGGAAGGCUUUAUUUCGAGUGGCGGACGGGUGAGUAACGCGUGGGUAACCUGCCUCAUACAGGGGGAUAACAGUUGGAAACGACUGUUAAUACCGCAUAAGACCACAGCACCGCAUGGUGCGGGGGUAAAAACUCCGGUGGUAUGAGAUGGACCCGCGUUCGAUUAGCCAGUUGGCGGGGUAACGGCCCACCAAAGCGACGAUCGAUAGCCGAUCUUAGAGGAGGACCCGCCACCUUGGGACCGAGACCCCGCCCAAACUCCCACGGGAGGGCGCCGUGGGGAAUAUUGCACAAUGGGGGAAACCCUGAUGCAGCGACGCCGCGUGAGUGAAGAAGUAUUUCGGUAUGUAAAGCUCUAUCAGCAGGGAAGAAAAUGACGGUACCUGAGUAAGAAGCCCCGGCUAACUACGUG